GAAAAAAAAGAGGUGCCAUGGUCAAAGCUGGAUGGAAGAGAAGGUAAAUAUACAAAUGAAAGUCCUUUCUUAAUCAUAAGUGACUUCAGGUGUGUCUGGCACUAACUGAUUCAACCGUAGAACUUCUGAAAUUCCUCAUCAGGACUAAUGAGAAGACGAGUGUGCUAAACAGGGAGCUGUUCAACUCCAAGGCUUUUAUCUGCGCUUCACUGUUCUGCUUUAAUCAGUGCAGUGACUCAGGGCCGUAUCAGAUUGACUGCAGGCCUAGAAAGUAAACAUGUUGUAAAGCUA
Long non-coding RNA from Cyprinus carpio (common carp), 291 nucleotides. RefSeq lists it as uncharacterized. NCBI's taxonomy places the organism in Eukaryota, Metazoa, Chordata, Actinopteri, Cypriniformes, Cyprinidae. The transcript has 2 exons. The record is from RefSeq and is a predicted model, not a curated record.